This is an RNA transcript of Beta vulgaris subsp. vulgaris (sugar beet), 2365 nucleotides long. It is a transcript of the gene named importin subunit alpha, with no coding region annotated. Lineage: Eukaryota; Viridiplantae; Streptophyta; Magnoliopsida; Caryophyllales; Amaranthaceae. The record is from RefSeq and is a predicted model, not a curated record. The transcript is spliced from 12 exons.
ACUUUCGCUUUCUCCAUUUCAACUUUCAUUCUCCCCCAAUUCUUCAUCGGAAAUAAAACCCUUGUUUUUCUCUCCCCGAUUCAUCCUCUCACCGAUUGAUUCACUGAUUACAGUUUUUUUUUCAUUUUCUCUGUCUCCUAAGGUCAGAGUUAGGGUUAGGGUUUUUGCUGUUUUUCGAUUCAAUCGGAGGAAGAAGAUGUCGUUGAGACCAAAUGCUAGGACUGAAGUGCGCCGCAGCAGGUACAAGGUAGCGGUGGAUGCGGAAGAAGGAAGGCGGAGGAGAGAGGAUAACAUGGUUGAGAUUCGUAAGAAUCGUCGCGAAGAAAACUUGCAGAAAAAGCGUCGUGAAGGUUUUCAGUCUACUACUGCACCGCAAUUUCCAUCGCAACCUUCUGGUGCUCCUGAUAAAAAGAUUGAUAGCUUGCCGCAGAUGGUUGCUGGUGUUUGUUCUGAUGAUGGAAAUGCUCAACUUGAAGCUACUACUCAUUUCCGGAAGUUGCUUUCUAUAGAGCGCAACCCUCCUAUUGAAGAAGUUGUUCAAUCAGGAGUUGUUCCCCGUCUUGUUGAAUUUUUGGGAAGAGAUGAUUUUCCACAACUUCAGUUUGAGGCUGCUUGGGCACUUACAAACAUUGCUUCUGGCACUUCCGAGAACACUAAGGUUGUCAUUGAUCAUGGAGCUGUUCCGAUUUUUGCUAAGCUUCUUGUUUCACCAAGUGAUGAUGUUCGUGAACAGGCUGUUUGGGCUUUGGGGAAUAUUGCUGGUGAUUCACCAAAAUGCCGAGAUUUGGUCCUUGCCCAUGGUGCUUUAAUGCCAUUGCUAGGUCAGUUCAACGAGAAUGCCAAACUGUCUAUGUUGCGAAAUGCCACAUGGACCUUGUCAAACUUCUGCAGAGGCAAGCCACAACCAUCAUUUGACCAGACGAAACCAGCCCUUCCAACUCUUGAGAGGCUUAUUCAUUCAAAUGAUGAUGAAAUCCUCACGGAUGCUUGUUGGGCACUGUCUUAUCUUUCUGAUGGUACAAAUGACAAGAUCCAAGCUGUAAUUGAAGCUGGAGUCUGCUCCCGGCUUGUAGAGCUUUUACUUCAUGCUUCUCCUUCUGUGCUCAUUCCUGCACUUCGUACUGUUGGAAAUAUUGUUACUGGUGAUGACAUGCAGACUCAGUGCAUUAUAGAGCAUCAGGCUCUUCCUUGCCUCCUCAACUUGUUGAACCAGAGUUACAAGAAGAGUAUAAAAAAAGAAGCUUGUUGGACAAUUUCCAACAUCACUGCUGGAACAAAGGAGCAGAUACAAGCUGUUAUCGAGGCGGGUAUUAUAGCUCCUUUAGUCCAUCUUCUCCAAAAUGCUGAGUUUGACAUCAAGAAGGAGGCUGCUUGGGCUAUUUCAAAUGCUACGUCUGGAGGUUCCCCUGACCAAAUAAAAUUUUUGGUGAGCCAGGGAUGCAUUAAGCCAUUAUGUGAUCUUUUAGUUUGUCCUGAUCCAAGAAUUGUCACAGUUUGCUUGGAAGGUCUUGAAAAUAUAUUGAAAAUCGGAGAAGCUGAGAAGAAUUUGGGUACAUCUGGAGGUAUCAACGUUUAUGCUCAGAUGGUUGAGGAUGCAGAAGGUCUAGAUAAGAUAGAGAAUCUCCAGAGUCAUGACAACAAUGAAAUUUAUGAGAAGGCAGUCAAGAUUUUGGAGACUUACUGGGUUGAUGAUGAAGAUGAAGCAUUGCCUUCUGCUGAGGGUGCUCAAAAUGGGUUUGAGUUCGGUGGAAAUGAACUCAAUGUUCCACAAGGUGGAUUCAAGUUUGGUUAAAGGCUAUAGUUUACUUCAACAGAAGUCUGCCUUGUUGAUAAUUUACCUAGGCAAUAUAGUAUGGAAAUGGAUGUGCAUCUUGGUGGGUCGAUUGAAGUCCCAGUUUGAGGGUUGAUAUAUUGUGCGUAUAUCCAGAUUGUUUUCGGUCCAGCCUCUCAGCCAUGGUCGAGGUGCUUGCUAAGCACUUCAACAUUUGUGCCACACCAUCGUCAACGAGUCAUCUCGUUAUUAAUCUUUUGCAGUGUCCUAUUCAGUUGAGUCGAUUCAACAGUCGGGUAGUCAGUGCAGCUAUACAGUUACAUGAGUUUUUUUGGGGUCAUAUAUAUAUGUUAGUUAGGCUGCAUAAUAAGAGGAUGGAGCAAAUGUAUUUUUGGGUCAAGAGAUUUCCAUCUCUAUUUUAUACUAAAAUAUUAUGUAUUCCAUACUUGUAGAUGGAAAGCCCUCUUCUUGAGGGCUAUUCUGUUUAUGUUUGGGGAGGAAAUAUAUCUCGAGUCUGUUAAGAAGUCACAUGAUGAAGUUAAGUCAUAUAAUGUGGAUUUUUUGAGGUUUUAUUACAGAAGUCUAAUUAUAUUA